AUGGGCGGUACCUGUAGCGUAUCCAAGGUAUCGAGUCCAGCCAUCCACAGAAGGAAUCUGCGCUCUCUAGUCUUCAGAGUGCUUGGGCUGCUAGGUCUUCUUCCUCCCGGUUUGCCGAAGAAAUUCCUCAAAGAAGAGCACAUCCAUGGACCUCUGACGGAGGCUGCAGUUGCUGGAUUGCCAGAGCUGCCACAGGAUGUCCUGAUGUCCAUAUUUGCACACCUGGAGAUCCCUGACCUGAUGCGUGCCUGCUCCUUCUGCUCCUCGUGGCGCUCCGCGUAUUCCAGCCUGCGCAACCUUGAGCAGUACCAGCGGCGCCAGACGCCGUGCCUCUUAUACACAUCUGAAUCUGCUGGUGAGAGCGUACAGCCUCGUGGAGAAAAGGUCAUACAAGUUGACUCUCCCGGAGCCACCCAUUCGCAGUAG
This 426-nucleotide ribosomal RNA is filed under the name Triticum aestivum (bread wheat). RNAcentral describes it as "partial small subunit ribosomal RNA". Lineage: Eukaryota; Viridiplantae; Streptophyta; Magnoliopsida; Poales; Poaceae. The record is from RNAcentral.